NAUCCCGUGAACCAUCGAGUCUUUGAACGCAAGUUGCGCCCAAAGCCUUCGGGCCGAGGGCACGUCUGCCUGGGCGUCACGCAUCGCGUCGCCCCCCCUCCAUCCCCCCCUCGUGGGUGGAUGCGUCGAGGGGGGCGGACAAUGGCCUCCCGUGCGCACCGCGCGCGCCCGGCCC
This 175-nucleotide ribosomal RNA is filed under the name Nelsonia smithii. Its description in RNAcentral is "5.8S ribosomal RNA". The stretch from base 1 to 79 matches the Rfam family "5.8S ribosomal RNA", at positions 78 to 154 of the family's 154-position model. The record is from RNAcentral. Lineage: Eukaryota; Viridiplantae; Streptophyta; Magnoliopsida; Lamiales; Acanthaceae.